GACGAACGCUGGCGGCGUGCCUAAUACAUGCAAGUCGAGCGAACAGACGGGAGUGCUUCCGCCCUCUGACGUUAGCGGCGGACGGUAGAGUAACACGCGGGACAACUAACUAUAAGAUUGGGAAAACCUGGGGAAACCGGAACUAAUAACGGAUAAUAUUCAGCUGCUUAGGAAGCAAUUGUUAAAGACGUUUCUGCGGUCACUUAUAGAUAGACCCGCGGUGCAUUGGUUAGUUGAGGGGGUAACGGGACACCAAGGCAACGAAACAUAGCCGACCUGAGGGGGAGGUUGGCCACACUGGGACUGAGACACGGCCCAGACUCCUACGGGAGGCAGCAGUAGGGAAUCUUCCGGGAUGGACGAAAGUCUGACGGAGCAAUGCCGCGUGAGUGAAGAAGGUUUUCGGAUCGUAAAACUCUGUUGUAAGGGAAGAACAAGUACGUUAGUAACUGAACGUACCUUGACGGUACCUUACCAGAAAGCCACGGCUAACUACGUG
RNAcentral lists this ribosomal RNA (499 nucleotides) under uncultured bacterium. RNAcentral describes it as "partial 16S ribosomal RNA". It matches the Rfam family "Bacterial small subunit ribosomal RNA", at positions 28 to 507 of the family's 1533-position model. The record is from RNAcentral.